AACACCUUCGGGGAUGAAGGUCUGCCCAGCGUCUGCCCAGCCAGUGAAGUGCUCAGAGACACCCUGGAGGGACUCACCUUUGCUUCUCCGUGUCUGAAUUCACACAGUGAACUGCCUUCAGUGAACCAGCAAAGCCCUUUUGUGGGCGAAUCCAAUCUUUUUCCUCUCUUUCCUCUGCGCCCCACCUCUUUUUCCAAAAGGACUCAAGGGCCCGGCAGCCCUCACUCAAACUUGCUCUGUAGCAGAGGAAGACCUUGAACUCCUGAUCCUCCUGCCUCUACCAGGAUGACAGGCAUGUGCCCCGUGCUGGGGUGAGACCUGGGGCUUUGAGGAUGCCCAGCAAGUGCUCCCACAGUGCAGCCUCAUCCAUGCCAAGUUUGUUUUGAGACAGGACCUCACCAUGUAGGCCUGGCUUGCCUGGAACGCUCUAUGUCGACCAGAC
Molecule: long non-coding RNA, 442 nt
Organism: Peromyscus leucopus (white-footed mouse)
Lineage: Eukaryota; Metazoa; Chordata; Mammalia; Rodentia; Cricetidae
Exons: 2
Source: RefSeq, a predicted model, not a curated record